RNAcentral lists this ribosomal RNA (491 nucleotides) under uncultured bacterium. RNAcentral describes it as "partial 16S ribosomal RNA". It matches the Rfam family "Bacterial small subunit ribosomal RNA", at positions 29 to 506 of the family's 1533-position model. The record is from RNAcentral.
AGUGAACGCUGGCGGUAGGCCUAACACAUGCAAGUCAAACGGCAGCACAGUAAGAGCUUGCUCUUACGGGUGGCGAGUGGCGGACGGGUGAGGAAUACAUCGGAAUCUACUUUUUCGUGGGGGAUAACGUAGGGAAACUUACGCUAAUACCGCAUACGACCUACGGGUGAAAGCAGGGGAUCUUCGGACCUUGCGCGAUUGAAUGAGCCGAUGUCGGAUUAGCUAGUUGGCGGGGUAAAGGCCCACCAAGGCGACGAUCCGUAGCUGGUCUGAGAGGAUGAUCAGCCACACUGGAACUGAGACACGGUCCAGACUCCUACGGGAGGCAGCAGUGGGGAAUAUUGGACAAUGGGCGCAAGCCUGAUCCAGCCAUACCGCGUGGGUGAAGAAGGCCUUCGGGUUGUAAAGCCCUUUUGUUGGGAAAGAAAAGCAGCAGGUUAAGACCCCGCUGUUCUGACGGUACCCAAAGAAUAAGCACCGGCUAACUUCGU